This is a long non-coding RNA of Saccostrea cuccullata (small rock oyster), 644 nucleotides long. RefSeq lists it as uncharacterized. The transcript is spliced from 5 exons. The record is from RefSeq and is a predicted model, not a curated record. Lineage: Eukaryota; Metazoa; Mollusca; Bivalvia; Ostreida; Ostreidae.
AAAUGUGAAGAAAAUUUGACAGCUCGACAACAAAGGACUGGCGGGAGGCUGUGCACAAUUUCGUUAAAAUUUAGUUGAACACGCACAAUAUACAAGCAAAAAUGCCCUCUGCUGGUCGAAUGAUGUGGAAUUUAUUGUGUUUUUCUUGGGAUGUGAUAAUUUAUGACAGAUCCUUGAAGAUUCUAUGAAGGACUGGUUGAGAGGAUUGAUACACUAAUUUUAUGCAAGGAGUUUAUGUGUAAUUUCUUGGAUAAUUUAGAAUGGAUCAAACAUUGAAAAUUUUACCAAAGCAAUAGUGUCUGGCCCAAAAAUAUGUGGUUUGAAGAUCAAACUACAUGGAGUUGUUUGUGUAUUCACCCAUACUGCCUCAGAUCAACAGAAGCUUGUCAAGACAAGAAGCCUGUGUUAUGAUAUAUCUAAGAUGUGACCACAGUAACAGCUUGGAUGAUAAAAAGCUUUCCGUGAGCUGAGCACCCCACCUGACCAUCCCCAACAAACGAGGCCACACAGGUGAGAACAUAUAUGUCCAUAGGCAUCCAGGUACACACCAAAGAAAACGGCAAAUUAAUGGCUGUUGAAAUUAAUUUUAUCCGCUUUGCCCUGACAUAGAAGACAAAAAGGUUGUCCGAUGGUUGUAGAUCAUU